This is a non-coding RNA of Doryrhamphus excisus (bluestripe pipefish), 1052 nucleotides long. Lineage: Eukaryota; Metazoa; Chordata; Actinopteri; Syngnathiformes; Syngnathidae. The record is from RefSeq and is a predicted model, not a curated record.
CUUGGAUAGGUUUUCCUGGUGUUCUGGGCCCCGUUUCACGAAGCAGGUUCAACCAACUCUGGAGUCUAACCCUGAACUCUGAGUUGAUCUACUCUGAGACAGGAAACUCUGAGUUACGGGUUUCAGAACAGGUGAUUUCAAUUGGUUCAAUCAACACAGAGUUUGUUCACUCUGAGUUAAGCGCGUGCACCACGACUUUAAAAAGCCCUGAUCAAUGGAGCCCCGUUCCCUCGAUUCACCAUGGCAACGAGUGAUAAGAAAAGAUCGUCAUAUUUCAGUCCUCUGGAACUGGAUAUAUUAAUGCGGUCAUACGGCGAAUUUGAAAGCAACACGGCUGCAGCAGCGAAAGAACGCGAGUCGGCGUGGGAGAAGAUUACUGCUCGAGUCAAUGCAUGUAAUCCCACCGGCGAAAAAAGAACGUGGAAGCAGCUGAAGAUGAAAUAUAAAAACAUUGUUCAAACAGCCAACAGAAAGCGGGCAUCUGCCCGCAAAACUGGCGGAGGACCACCCCCACCACGUCUGACCGAGGCAGAGGAGCAGGCCAUGAGUCAGACUGUCGGGAGGCCAGUCGCAGAGGGGAUCCCUGGAGGGACCUCAUCCUCGGACAUGAUUACACAGGAGCCACCAGCUUUGAUAAGAUGUAAUAGGCCUAGGCCUCAAACUUUUUUGGGGCCUAUAUUUCAAUGUUAAUUUCCCUUUCAUGUGUUUUUCUUUUGUCUCAACAGAUUCUGAAGGCGUACUUGGUCUAGUGGAUCCAUGUGCCACUUUAACUGAUGAUGAAGAUGAUGGGACCACAAUGUCUGCUGCCUUCUCUGUGGUGUCUGAGAGGGAGCCCGAGAGGCCUACAGAGAGCAUGGCUGGGCAGCAGGAAGAGGGUCCCUCAACCUCCACAGCACAGAUUGACACACUACCACUAAAAGAAAUCUACAAAGUGCAUUUAUUAAAAACAGUACAAAAAACAGAAAAUGAAAUGGUGCUGCUGGACCGCCAGAUAACUAAAACGGAUCUGGAAAUUGAAUUAUUAAAACACAAGUUAGAGGUGGGUGCAUGGU